RNAcentral lists this ribosomal RNA (440 nucleotides) under uncultured bacterium. RNAcentral's name for it is "partial 16S ribosomal RNA". It matches the Rfam family "Bacterial small subunit ribosomal RNA", at positions 338 to 795 of the family's 1533-position model. The record is from RNAcentral.
CCUACGGGUGGCAGCAGUGGGGAAUAUUGCACAAUGGCGGAAACCCUGAUGCAGCAACGCCGCGUGAGUGAAGAAGUAUUUCGGUAUGUUAAGCUCUAUCAGCAGGGAAGAAGAUGACGGUACCUGAUUAAGAAGCCCCGGCUAACUACGUGCCAGCAGCCGCGGUACUACGUAGGGGGCAGCCGUGAUCCGGAUUUACUGGGGGUAAAGGGAGCGCAGACGGCUGUGCAAGUCUGGAGUGAAAGCCCGGGGCCCAACCCCGGAAAUGCUCUGGAAACUGUGCGGCUAGAGUACUGGAGGGGCAGGCGGAAUGCGUAGUGUAGCGGUGAAAUGCGUAGAUAUUAGGAGGAACACCAGUGGCGAAGGCGGCCUGCUGGACAGUAACUGACGUUGAGGCACGAAAGCGUGGGGAGCAAACAGGAUUAGAUACCCGGGUAGUC